AGUGAACGCUGGCGGUGGGCCUAACACAUGCAAGUCGAACGGCAGCACAGUAAGAGCUUGCUCUUACGGGUGGCGAGUGGCGGACGGGUGAGGAAUACAUCGGAAUCUACUUUUUCGUGGGGGAUAACGUAGGGAAACUUACGCUAAUACCGCAUACGACCUACGGGUGAAAGCAGGGGAUCUUCGGACCUUGCCCGAUUCAAUGAGCCGAUGUCGGAUUAGCUAGUUGGCGGGGUAAAGGCCCACCAAGGCGACGAUCCGUAGCUGGUCUGAGAGGAUGAUCAGCCACACUGGAACUGAGACACGGUCCAGACUCCUACGGGAGGCAGCAGUGGGGAAUAUUGGACAAUGGGCGCAAGCCUGAUCCAGCCAUACCGCGUGGGUGAAGAAGGCCUUCGGGUUGUAAAGCCCUUUUGUUGGGAAAGAAAAGCAGCAGGUUAAUACCCCGCUGUUCUGACGGUACCCAAAGAAUAAGCACCGGCUAACUUCGUG
This 492-nucleotide ribosomal RNA is filed under the name uncultured bacterium. RNAcentral's name for it is "partial 16S ribosomal RNA". It matches the Rfam family "Bacterial small subunit ribosomal RNA", at positions 29 to 507 of the family's 1533-position model. The record is from RNAcentral.